UGUAAGCGUAUACCAAAGUUGUUGCAGUUAAAACGCUCGUAGUCGGAAUUUGGCAGUUCCGGAUGUGUGCACGUCGUGUGCGCACUUCGCGGGGAUUGCUUUUGUGGUCUUGCGUAGGAUGAGGCACUUUUAUUAGUGAACGUCCUCACGCAACCACUUUUUACUGUGUGAAAAUCAGAGUGCUCAAAGCAGGCAUUUGCCGUGAAUGUAUUAGCAUGGAAUAAUAGAAUAGGACUUGGUUCUAUUUUGUUGGUUUGUUGGGACUGAGUAAUGAUUAAGAGGGACAGUUGGGGGCAUUUGUAUUUCGGUGCUAGAGGUGAAAUUCUUAGAUUACCGAAAGACAAACUGCUGCGAAAGCGUCUGCCAAGGAUGUUUUCAUUGA
This 382-nucleotide ribosomal RNA is filed under the name uncultured eukaryote. RNAcentral's name for it is "partial 18S ribosomal RNA". It matches the Rfam family "Eukaryotic small subunit ribosomal RNA", at positions 592 to 976 of the family's 1831-position model. The record is from RNAcentral.